Molecule: long non-coding RNA, 206 nt
Filed under: Solanum tuberosum (potato)
Lineage: Eukaryota; Viridiplantae; Streptophyta; Magnoliopsida; Solanales; Solanaceae
Description: long non-coding RNA (STUB_LNC007364)
Source: RNAcentral
GUACCCAGUGACACCAGUGAAGGCUUGCAAUGAAAUUGUCAUACAUUUCUCAGGAUUGGCAAUGUUAUCAAUUGCUUCUUGGUCCUGGAACUGAUCUGGUUCUAGAUCCUCUGCCAUAGUUACAUCUCCUUCUUCACACAAUUCUACUAAGAACAACUGCUUCUUGGCCUUACACACAUGCCCCAUUACAUACUUUUCAUCACAAA